GUGAGAAUCCCGUAUGUGACCGGCGACCAAGCCCAUGUGAAACUCCUUCGACGAGUCGAGUUGUUUGGGAAUGCAGCUCAAAAUGGGUGGUAUAUUUCAUCUAAAGCUAAAUACCGGCCAGAGACCGAUAGCGCACAAGUAGAGUGAUCGAAAGAUGAAAAGCACUUUGGAAAGAGAGUCAAAAAGUACGUGAAAUUGUUGAAAGGGAAGCGCUCGCAACCAGACCUGCCCGCGGCCGAUCAACCGUCCUUCUGGGCGGUGCACUCGGUCGCGAUCAGGCCAGCAUCGGUUCGGGCGGCCGGAUAAAGGCCCGGGGAACGUAGCUCCUUUCGGGGAGUGUUAUAGCCCUGGGUGCAAUGCGGCCAACCUGGACCGAGGACCGCGCUUCGGCUAGGAUGCUGGCGUAAUGGUUGUGAGCGGCCCGUCUUGAAACACGGACCAAGGAGUCUAACAUCUAUGCGAGUGUUUGGGUGUCAAACCCAUGCGCGUAAUGAAAGUGAACGGAGGUGGGAACCCAUUCCGGGCGCACCAUCGACCGAUCCAGAUGUCUUCGGAUGGAUUUGAGUACGAGCAUAGCUGUUGGGACCCGAAAGAUGGUGAACUAUGCCUGAAUAGGGUGAAGCCAGAGGAAACUCUGGUGGAGGCUCGCAGCGGUUCUGACGUGCAAAUCGAUCGUCGAAUUUGGGUAUAGGGGCGAAAGUACGUAUUCAACCUCGUCAAUUCAUCGGAAUAAUCAAAUGCUAAUAUCUUUUCUAGGACUAAUCGAACCAUU
Molecule: ribosomal RNA, 772 nt
Filed under: Pyrenodesmia chalybaea
Lineage: Eukaryota; Fungi; Ascomycota; Lecanoromycetes; Teloschistales; Teloschistaceae
Description: LSU rRNA
Rfam family: Eukaryotic large subunit ribosomal RNA
Source: RNAcentral